GCUUACAACCACACCGACCUGAGUACGCCUGAUCUCGUCUGAUCUCGGAAGCUAAGCAGGGUCGGGCCUGGUUAGUACUUGGAUGGGAGACCACCUGGGAAUGCCAGGUGCUGUAAGCU
Oncorhynchus tshawytscha (Chinook salmon) is the source of this 119-nucleotide ribosomal RNA. NCBI's taxonomy places the organism in Eukaryota, Metazoa, Chordata, Actinopteri, Salmoniformes, Salmonidae. The record is from Ensembl.